UUUAAGCAUGACUGUAAGUUGCUUUGGAUAAAAGCGUUUGCUAAAUGGCAUAUU
Non-coding RNA from Salmo salar (Atlantic salmon), 54 nucleotides. Lineage: Eukaryota; Metazoa; Chordata; Actinopteri; Salmoniformes; Salmonidae. The record is from Rfam.